RNAcentral lists this transfer RNA (69 nucleotides) under Podarcis lilfordi (Lilford's wall lizard). RNAcentral's name for it is "tRNA.Ile". The record is from RNAcentral. Lineage: Eukaryota; Metazoa; Chordata; Lepidosauria; Squamata; Lacertidae.
GAUAGUUCAGGUGGUUAGAUCAUGGCGCUGAUAAUGCCAAGGCUGCAGGUUUGAUCCCUAUAUGGGGCA